This is a non-coding RNA of Microcebus murinus (gray mouse lemur), 621 nucleotides long. Lineage: Eukaryota; Metazoa; Chordata; Mammalia; Primates; Cheirogaleidae. The record is from RefSeq and is a predicted model, not a curated record.
GGCCAGCCUUGGCGGCAGGAAGGCAGUGCCAUGCAGAAAUUAUGAAAAUAGUGCUUAAAUAACUGAUGUCUGAAAACCACCAGCAUAAGGGAGGGAGCAGAGCACUGGCCAGAAGUGAAGAGAACAGAGUCUUAGGUCCGGACCCCCUGCUGUGGAAACUAAAGGGCAAAUUCAGCAAAACAACCAGUUGGCUGUACCACAGGCAGAGAGAAAAAGAAGUCAGGAGAAAUAGAAAACUGAUGACAAUGUCCACGAAGUCCCAAGGUAGGAAUUGGGGUGACAUGCUACAUUUUCAUCAUUAACAUAUAUUACCUUUGUAAUUGGAGGAAAAAACCCCAAUAACAUAGACAUAUAUUUUUAUAUACAUUUAAUGUUUGGAGAGCAGUUUAGAGGUGCAGUAUGUUUGAUAGAGAUUAUAAACUCAACUGUUUAUGAGGUUCAGAUAUAAAAUGUAAUGAAUGAAGCAAAAAUAAGAAAAGCAGGCUGAUGGGAGUGAGGGAAUUGUGGGACACCAGAGAAAUUCAGACAGUUGCAAUACCUGGAAUCUUGGAAUGUGGGCACAGAGAUGUCAGAGCAUCUAAUCGUCUCCCUCACCACCAAAAAACAAAAAAAAAAAAAAAA